Molecule: long non-coding RNA, 2463 nt
Filed under: Hordeum vulgare
Lineage: Eukaryota; Viridiplantae; Streptophyta; Magnoliopsida; Poales; Poaceae
Description: long non-coding RNA (HVUL_LNC003828)
Source: RNAcentral
AUAUUUUGGUUACGAGUAGUUAUUGCUGAACCAAAAACAUUUGAAAUUUUGAAAGCAUGGAUGCAAUGCAGUGUAUGUAGAUUACAUGUGCGUUACAACUGAAGUUGUGACAUCUGAUGAUGUUUGCAUCACGUUCUUGCCACAUACGUCAAGAACAAGCCAUAUUUUAUCGGAACCAUUGAGUAAGUAAGAGAAAACUAAUAAUAAUAUGUGAUGCAGCAACGGUUACCAUAUCAAAUCUCUUGAACUAAUACAAAUAUAGUCCUGAUCACACAUUAGAUCUUAGAACUGUUUUAGGCUUUUAUUUAAAUUCAGGCAUCUUAACCGAGUGCACUCAACAAUAGUAGUACACUAAAUACUUGGAAUUUUCUUGCGAAGGCCGAGUAAAACAUAAAAUCCAAACCAUAGUAUGAUUUCAUCUUAUCUGGUGGUUUGGUAGUGCGACUAUUAAUGUGAUCCAUCUUUAGAUCAAUAAAUUCCAUUUUUGGUCUUAACCUACAAACAAAGAUUGUUCCAUAAGUAUCGCAGCCGUCAAUCAUAGGAGAAUCUAAGAGUGUACAAGUAUAUAUACAGAAAAUGGAAUCUACCUUUAAAGUUGAUCUUGCAGAUCCCUAUUUUUCGCCAAUUCAUGUCAUAUUGUGCGCAUCCAUGAUGACCUCAAGGUAAGAUAUUUGCACAAACCUUCCCACUCACUCGCUAUAUUCUACCUGUCAAUGAAAACAGACCUUACUUAUCACAGAAGAAAAUGGGAAACCUAACUACGACAUGUAUGCUAAGUCGCUUCCCAUAGAGACAAUACUACAAUGGCUCAAUGCCUCAAUGCCUGAAGCUCUCUCUUUUAGGAGAUUUUACAGUAAAGAAUACAAGCUGCCACUGAACACAAGGAGUCAGCAAGAAUAUUUAGUGUCAGAGAGAUGUCUAGAGCACCUAUGUUAAUGUUGCCCAUACAGUUGAUUUACCUCUCACUAGUUCAUACUAAAUUUACAUAAUUUGGGACAGUUUAACAGACAAAAAUGUGAAGCACAUAUCAUCAGCUCAGCAGAAGCCUCUUACUAGUUCAUACUAUUUACAUAAUUUGGGGCAGGUCAAUAGACAUAAAUGUGAAGCAAAUAUCAUCUUCAGUAGCAGUCAUUGCCUUCCUUCUUCAGCAGCCUAUACGGACAUAAACAGGAUAGAGAUCCUUACCGGACUCUCAAACUACCGGCUACCUUCAUUGCAAUUAUCCUAAGAAUAUAGUCUGUACAUGUAGAACUAGUACUACUAAAGCAAACUAACUAGCUAGCACUCACGUAUAGACUCUGCUAUCAAUACAUCUUGAUGUAGAUUAAGACUAAUGCAAGAUUAUUACCAAUAGGAGAUACGUGUACAAUAGAAAGGGAUUCCGUUUUCAACUAAGUUGAUUCUUUUUUGUGUUUUUGCCUGCACUUCGAAAGAUAAUACUUAGAGCAAACAAACUGAAACCUCUUGCUACCUUUACUUUCUCUGUGGUCAUUCGUGAACGCCGCUGCUAGCCUACGUAUAUGGAGUAAUUCUCAGAAAAUGUAUACGCUAAGUAUCAAUUGUUAUUGUUUAAAAUGGUGAGAAAGAUAUAUGUCUCGUGCGUGUAGAUUGGUAACUACAGUACAUUUUUUUAUAGUUGUUUGGCAAUUCCUGUUAUUCAGUCUAGUCUAGUAUUUGGCGGCAUUCGACAUGCUCUCCAUGACACUAACUAACUAAAUAAAACACUAGACUUGUUCAUACAAAUCCCUCUUGAAUUCCUUGUCACAACCAGAAUUUGCAUAGCAGUAGUGAGCAGUGGAAGAGGGGGAGGGAGAUGGAGACGUUACAUGUCACGGUGGGUCAUCAUGGCCACGCUUGAGCUCGGGCAGGGCUUGUUGGUCGCCCUAGGAGCAGAACCCUCCAGCCCCUCCUCCUCGAGCAGAGCAUGGCCGGUGGCUAGGUGCGCCCCUCCUCCUCCUCCUCCUCAAGCAGGGCAAGGUCGGUGCCCACUUGUUGUUAUUACCAUAUCCACGCCAUGGUGACAUGCAGCAAGGGGAUGGAUAAGAAGAGAAGGUGAGGUGCGGAGGAGAGGGUGGAAGGGCCUACCUGGGCAAUGCAGGUGACGGACCACGCAAGCUCCAGCCUUGCCAUCGCCUAUUGUGGUGGAUUCCAACAAGAACAGGGGGGCGCCUGAAGCCCUAGCCAAGGGAAAGUAUGCAUGCCUUAAGGCACAGAUCUGGAUGGAGGGGAGGGAGCGGCGGAGCUCGGGGAGCUUGGGGCAUGUUGGAACUGACCAGCUUGGGUGGUGGCGUCGGCGAGGAGAUCGUCAUGUGAGGGGGUGAGAUUAGUGAGUGAUAUUUAUUCCUCAGACCUUGUUCCUUUUCAUAGAAUUUCAAGAGGUUUGAAGGGGAUUGGAAGGGAUUAAAUUNNNNNNNNNNGCAUGUUGGAACUGGCCAGCUUGGGUGGUGGCGUCGGUGAGGAGAU